CAGCAGUCGCCGCGGGAAUACGUAGGUGGCAAGCGUUGUCCGGAAUUAUUGGGCGUAAAGGGCUCGCAGGCGGUUUCUUAAGUCUGAUGUGAAAGCCCCCGGCUCAACCGGGGAGGGUCAUUGGAAACUGGGAAACUUGAGUGCAGAAGAGGAGAGUGGAAUUCCACGUGUAGCGGUGAAAUGCGUAGAGAUGUGGAGGAACACCAGUGGCGAAGGCUACUCUCUGGUCUGUAACUGACGCUGAGGAGCGAAAGCGUGGGGAGCGAACAGGAUUAGAUACCCCUGUAGUCCCUGUCUCUUAUAC
RNAcentral lists this ribosomal RNA (304 nucleotides) under uncultured bacterium. RNAcentral's name for it is "partial 16S ribosomal RNA". It matches the Rfam family "Bacterial small subunit ribosomal RNA", at positions 509 to 807 of the family's 1533-position model. The record is from RNAcentral.